RNAcentral lists this ribosomal RNA (484 nucleotides) under uncultured bacterium. RNAcentral describes it as "partial 16S ribosomal RNA". It matches the Rfam family "Bacterial small subunit ribosomal RNA", at positions 28 to 523 of the family's 1533-position model. The record is from RNAcentral.
GAUGAACGCUGGCGGCGUGCUUAACACAUGCAAGUCGAACGAGAGAAGAUUGGUGCUUGCACUGAUCCGAUCGAGUGGCGGACGGGUGAGUAACGCGUGGGUAACCUGCCUCAUACAGGGGAAUAACAGUUGGAAACGGCUGCUAAAACCGCAUAAGCGCACAGCAUCGCAUGAUACAGUGUGAAAAACUCCGGUGGUAUGAGAUGGACCCGCGUCUGAUUAGCUAGUUGGUGAGGUAACGGCCCACCAAGGCAACGAUCAGUAGCCGGCCUGAGAGGGUGAACGGCCACAGUGGGACUGAGACACGGCCCAAACUCCUACGGGAGGCAGCAGUGGGGAAUAUUGCACAAUGGGGGAAACCCUGAUGCAGCGACGCCGCGUGAGUGAUGAAGUAUUUCGGUAUGUAAAGCUCUAUCAGCAGGGAAGAUAAUGACGGUACCUGACUAAGAAGCACCGGCUAAAUACGUGCCAGCCGCCGCCGUAA